CCUACGGGAGGCAGCAGUGAGGAAUAUUGGUCAAUGGACGAGAGUCUGAACCAGCCAAGUAGCGUGAAGGAUGACUGCCCUAUGGGUUGUAAACUUCUUUUAUAUGGGAAUAAAAUGUUCCACGUGUGGGAUUUUGUAUGUACCCUAUGAAUAAGGAUCGGCUAACUCCGUGCCAGCAGCCGCGGUAAUACGGAGGAUCCGAGCGUUAUCCGGAUUUAUUGGGUUUAAAGGGAGCGUAGGUGGAUUGUUAAGUCAGUUGUGAAAGUUUGCGGCUCAACCGUAAAAUUGCAGUUGAAACUGGCAGUCUGGAGUAGAGGAGAGGUGGGCGGAAUUCGUGGUGUAGCGGUGAAAUGCUUAGAUAUCACGAAGAACUCCGAGUGCGAAGGCAGCUCACUGGACUGCAACUGACACUGAGGCUCGAAAGUGUGGGUAUCAAACAGGAUUAGAUACCCUAGUAGUC
This 460-nucleotide ribosomal RNA is filed under the name uncultured bacterium. Its description in RNAcentral is "partial 16S ribosomal RNA". It matches the Rfam family "Bacterial small subunit ribosomal RNA", at positions 338 to 795 of the family's 1533-position model. The record is from RNAcentral.